AGGUAUAGUGAUCCUUAUUCACUUCCAUUUCUAAAAGAUGAAAAGAGUUGGGAACUAUUGCAGAAGAAAGUAUUUAAACGAGGGAACUCGUGUCCUUUGGAGCUAGUCAAUGUAGGACAACUAGUUGCCAAAAAAUGUAAAGGAUUACCUUCUUUGAUUAUCAUGAUUGCUAUAACUCUUUCAGAAGAAAGAGAAGCGUCUUCGUGGCUUAAGGUUGCAUAUGAUAUAAGUUCUCAUGUUUUCGACAAGGAGAGAAGCAUGAUGACGAUACGAUCAAGUUAUGGCCAUUUACCGGAUCAUUUAAAGCCUUGCCUUCUCUAUAUGGGAUUGUUUCCUAAAGAUUACGAAAUUCCAGUGUCUGAUCUACUCAAGUGGUGGAUAGCUGAGGAGUUUGUGCAGAACAUUGACACGUUGAAUCCAGAAGAAUUAUCAGAGAUUUGCUUGCAUGAUCUUGUUGGCAGAAACCUCGUAGUGGUUUCCAAAACAAGCUUGAAUGGUAAAAUGAAAUGCUGCAUAGUUCUUGAUCAAGUGCGUGAGUUUUGCUUGAGAAAAAUUACAGAAGAAAAGUUCAUGCACCUCAUAGUGCCGUAUAGUUAUCCAGAUCAACCCGAAGAACAAAGGUUAUGCAUGUACAUACAUGACCGUACUAUGACAAGUGAUUUCAAGGAAAGUGAUCAGGAGUUCAUUGUUCAUCCGAAAUUCAGUAUAUUGGACCGUAAGAAUCCUUUCCGUUUGCUUAAUAACUUAAAACUUGUUCGGGUUUUACAUUUAUUGGAUAUCUACUUGGACAAUUCUUUGGCUGCUACAUUUCAGUCAUUCCCUCACUUGAGGUACCUUGCAAUUUUUGUUAAAGCAUUUGAUUUCAAAUGGGUGUCACACCUACUUCAUCUACAAACUUUGCGGGUUCGUUCAUCUUAUAUAAUGAUAUCCCCUGCUAUAUGGAAAAUGUCAAAGUUGAGGCAUGUGGACAUAAACGAAUUUCCCGUUACAGUAUGGGAUGAAGAUGAUAAAGAUGAUAUUGUGUUAGAUAACUUGAAGACUCUUGGAAUGUGUUCUAUGUCCGCGGCUGACAUGACUUGGGAGUUUUGGAAAAAGUUUGCAAAUCUUGAAGAACUCAGGCUCCACAUAAAUGAAUUUGAAAAUCAUGUUCCUUAUCAUUUUUGCUUUUUCCCCUUACGUCUCAGGUGUUUGUCUCUCAGUGAAAUAUUCCUAACUGAUGGAUUAGUUUCAAGUAUUACAAAUUUGCGAUGCCUUGAGACUCUUAAAUUAUCCGAGAUAUACUUUGCAGGGGAAAAGUAUUGGGAUCUCGGUGAUAGCACGUUUGUACAACUCAAGUUUUUGAAACUACAUCGUGUUUUUAUGACCAAAUGGAGUUGCUCAGAGGAAUCAUUUCCUUGCCUUGAAUAUCUUGUUAUAAAAAAUUGUCCCAAGCUUGAAGAGAUCCCGGAUAGCUUUGCUGAUAUUCCAACACUGCAAUUGAUUAAAGUGAUCAAUUGUAGUGAGUCAGUUCGCAAUUCAGCUCAAAACAUUAAAGAAGAUGUAGAAAACACUGAAGGAAAUGAGAGACUCCAACUUCAUAUCCCCAAGAACUACUAAAGAUGGUAAGUGAUUUCAUUAUUGUCAGCUACAUUCCUUUGACGCAGAAUUACAUUGCAUGAUGUGUCGUUUUGUAUUGUUGUUGUAUUGUAUCGUACUGUAUUUUAAUGAAGGGAAAAAGGACAAAUAAACCCCCGAACUAUCGUAAAUGGUAUCUAAAUACCCUCCGUUAUACUUUUAGGACGUUCAUGUCCUUACCGUCCAAAUUUUGGAGCGUAUAUACCCUUAUGAUAGACGGCGGGACACGUGGCAUCAUCUCAAUGACUUGCCCAAAAUUAUUUAAUUUAUAUUUCCAACCCGGAUAACUUAAAACCCCCGACCCAAAUUAUAACCCAUAGACACCCUGACCCAAAUGAAAGAAAAAAAAAAGGCAACGACAACCAUUGCCUCUUUCAUCUAUUCCUCACUUCUUCUUCAAUGGCAUCUUUUCAAAUUUCAUCUUCUUCAAUACAACCAUUGAUAAUGUGCAUAUUUAUUGCCGCUAAAAUUUUUGUCUUCUCCUCAUCCACAACUGGAGCAACAUUAGAUCCAAUAACAAUUCACUAAUGUCGGUAAAGACUUUAACACUCUUUGUUAAUGUGCAUAUUUAUUGCCGCUAAAAAAUAUUUUUGUUAUAGUUCUAGAUGUGAUUUCCGAGCAGCUGAAUCAUUCAUCAGACUUGUGAAUUUCUAGUCAGAGGAGACAUCAGUAGAAGCUAAACCAUUGUAGUACUGAGAUGAAAGGUUCUGCUUUGUGGAUGGAUUGAUUUGCAUAUCAUCAGCAAGUUGCUAUUGACCGGAGGAUAUCAAUGUCUAUUUAGAUUUGUGCUUUGUAAUGCUCCGUUCUGAUAUGUAUUGUCAGAGAUGGAGCCAGAAUUUGAAGCUUAUGGAUUCUGAAUUUUUUUCACAUGUGAUCUGAACUAUUAAUUGUCAUGUUCACUGUUGUUAUUUGCUGAUGGAAACUAUAUGUGUGUAUUUUGUAUAUAUAUAUAUGAAAGUAUCUCCGGUAAUUUCUUAUCACAAUUUACUACUAUCUCCGUCUUUAUUCAAGUGUCUUAGUUUGAUUGGACACGGGUAUAAGAAAUAAAUUGAGAUUUUUUCGAAUCUUAUGGUCUUAAAUUAAAGAUGUAUGUUAUCUUUUCAAUUUUAUGUGGUCUUAAACUUGUCAGUAGAGUGUUGGUGUUGAAAAUUUUACUAAAUAUAAAAAGACUUUUUUGGAAUAGACAAAAAGAGAAAGUAAGACACUUAAAUUGGUACGGAGGAAGUAAGUCUCAAGAAUAUUGAAGAAUUUUAUCAAGUGUUAUCUGGUUUUAAAAAAAUAAUCAAGGUUCUAAGUACAGAAUUGAACACUGUAGAAAUAUUAAUGUAAGCAAGUAAAUAAUUAAAAAGGCAACAUCAUUUCUUUUAUACUGGUUCGAUCCAAAUGUUAGACUCCCAAAAUGGACACUUUUAGAACGCCAUAGAUUAAAAGGACCCUCCCUAAAAACACAGACCAAAACAUGCACUUCACCCAAACAAUUUGAAAAUAUUAAGGUAUUAUCAAAUAGGUGAAGUGUCCAUUUUGGUUCUUGUUUUUAGGGAAGGUCUCUUUUGGUUCGUAACAUCCAAAAAAUAUCCCUUUUGGGGCUAGACUCCUCCAGGGAGGUUCAGUUUAGUUGAAAAAUAAGUUAUCUUGAAAUUAGUUAUUUCGAAAUUAUUAUUCCACCUUCAAUGUGAGAGAAAAAUAAUUCUACAAAUUUGAUAAUUAAAAUUUUGGGCCAUCAUGAUGAUUUGGUGUACUAUAAAUUUGGGUUGGAUCAAAUUAAAAAUAAUUUCUUAACAUGGUCUAAUAAAAGAGUGCCACGUGUAAUUUUAUAAAGUCAACCUUGUCAAUUACUAGAUCUAUCUUUCUCCUAUACCAUCAGUAUUCAUUCUUCAAGAUUCAAAGCCCACAAAACUUCUUUUCCAAUUCUUUCUAAGAGGGAAACUAUAGAGUUAACACAAUCAUAUAGCAAUUAUUAAUCUCUCUAUUUGCACUCUAAGGUGAGAUUCCUUUUUUAGCUUUCUAUUUUUUUCCUUUUAUUUUACUUUCUGAUGAGUCAUCCAAUUUAUGUGACACUUUGUUGUUAUUUUUUCGGUAAUUAAUUUGACUAAUCUUUGAAUAUAAAUUAGAUUAGAUCAAUUCUAUAUGAGAAGUAGUAUUAAGUAGUUGUGAUUCUUCUCAUAUCAAUAUGAUCCUUAAUAUUUUGGUUUGGGUCAAUCGAAUAGAUAGAAGAUCUAGCACCUUGGUGAGAGAUAAUGGGGCACAAGUUAGGAUAGAGUUUUGUGAUCUUGGGGAAAGCUAGUUUGAAUCUCGAAAAACUAAAAUUAAGACAUAGAGAUUUGAGGAAUUAACUUCUAAUUAACAAAUCUUUCAUAAUGUUUCCAGUGUUGUUAAUCCUAUUUUAAAUUUUAUAAGUACUAAUUUGUAACUUCCAUAGAUAUAUAUUCCCUCUUUUCAGAACAUGGAUGUUGAGGCAAAAUGUUUAAUCACACGUACUAGGUAACUCUGUCCACCUAGUGUUUUAUGGACAUGUAAAAUGUUCAAAACUAUUUCUAAUGCUCACUUGCUAUUUGAAUAGAAGAAAAUGACAUUACUAAGACGAAAACUAUUUCAUUGAUUUUAUGGAGGCUGACACAGUUAUUAACUAUAAUGCAGUUUUACAUGGAGAACAUCGAGUUAACUACUUCUCGAUGCUAUUUUUCAUCGAAUGAUGAGGAAUUUGUGGGGUUUAAGGAGGAUGUAAAACAGAUCAUUAAGAAAUUGACUAGAGGAACAAAAGAACGCGAAGUUAUAUCGAUUGUUGGAAUGGCAGGACUAGGCAAAACAACUUUGGCUAGAAAGGUGUACAACAAUCAUUCUGUUGCUGAUCACUUUGAUGUUCGCGCAUUUUGUAUUGUUUCACAAACAUAUAGCAUCAGAAAGCUAUUGUUUGAGAUUCUUAAACAAGCCACGGGUGAAAAACGUGACAUGAUCAAAGAGGAUGAGGACGUUGCAGAUACGUUGAGGAAGGCACUUUAUUGUAAGAGAUACCUCAUUGUUUUAGAUGAUAUGUGGAACUAUGAGGCAUGGGAAGAUUUGCAAUCAUGGUUCCCUUGUGUGGAAACAGGAAGUAGAAUUAUGGUAACAACUUGCGUCCAAGAGGUUGCUAUUAAGAUGAGUGAUCCUUAUUUACUUCGAUUCCUAACAGAUGAAGAGAGUUGGGAAUUAUUGCAAAAGAAGGUAUUUAAAUGCGAGGGGGUUCCCUUAGAGCUAGAAAAAGCAGGAUUUGAAGUUGCUCGAAACUGUAAGGGAUUGCCUCUUGUGAUUGUGUUGAAUGCUGGUAUUAUCGCACAAAAGGUAUUAUCAAAGUGGAUUUGGCCCAAAGCUAGACAAAUGCAAAUCUAAGAACAAGAAAAUUUGAAAAAAAACUAGGAAAAAUUACACAAGUGAAGAUCUUUUAUCUUUAUUUAAUAAUUACCACUUUUAAGUAUACUUUUAAUUUAUUACCAUUUUUGUCAAAUUUUAGCAAUACUGUCAUUCAGCCAAAUUUUUAUAUAUGGUUAAAACAAUAAUGUUGACAAAUAUCGUAAAUAUUUUUUAAAAAGUGUACACUUAAGUGAUUGUCUAAGUUCGUUUAAAGCCCAUUUAGCUUUUGGUUAAUGUCUUAAUCUAAAUAAGUAGAUAUAUUUAAUGUGAUUUUAUUUAUCUACCUAAUGAGCGUCUCGAGAACAAGUGGAAAUAAUUUAAUCUAGAUAUUCUUAAAUCAAGACUUAAAUGGGGCCCUCAAUUAAAAAAUCUCUAAUAAUUAACAGAACUUUGGAGCAAUUAUUGAUCUCUCUGUUUCCACUCUAAGGUGAGAUAUAUUCCCUGUUUUUUUUCCUUUUUGCUAUUUCUCAUUUGAUUAUUUCUCACAUUUUUUAUGCAAUCUAGUCUACAUUCUGAUAAAUUUGGGUUGGAUCUAAUCUCAUCAUGUACUUUUAAAAUCAACUCCUAGUUCUAUCUUUUUGCUACCAUUCUUUUUCAAUUUUGUGCAAGACUGAAGCCAUAGAUCCUUUUAAGCAAUUAUUGAUCUCUUAAGGUGAGAUUCCUUUUGUUUUACUUGGAUUUGAUGCACUUGAGCCGAGAGUUUUUGGAAAACAGUCUCUCUACCUCCACGAAAUAGUGGUAAGAUCUGCAUAUACUCUAUUCUUCCCACAUCCUACUAGAUUGUUGUUUUGUUAUUUCUAAUUUGAUUGUUUGUCGCAAUUUUCAUGUCUUAUUUUACUAUAGUAAUGGAAUAUAUAUACUCGUAUUCGUAAGAUUCCUUUUCCUUUACUUAGAUUUAAUGCACUUGAGUUGAGGGUCUUUUGGAAACCGUCUUUCUACCUCCACGAAGUAGUGAUAAGAUAUGCAUAUACUCUACUCUGGCUAUGUUAUUGUUUUGUUAUUUCUAAUUUGAUUGCUUGUCGCAAUUUUCAUGCCUUGUUUUACUAUAGUAAUGGAACAUAUAUACUCGUAUUUGUAAGAUUCCAUUUUCUUUAUUUAAAUUUGAUGCACUUGAGUUGGGAGUCUUUUGGAAAUAAUGUCUCUACCUACACGAAGUAGUGGUAAGAUCUGCGUACACUCUGCUCUGGUAUGUUGUGGUUUUGUUAUUUCUAAUUUAAUUGUUUGUCACAAUUUUCAUGUCUUGUUUUACUAUAGUAAUGGAACAUAUAUACUCAUAUUCAUAAAACUUUAGAUGUGGCAUUGUUAAUCAUUAGAGUAUAUUUUUGUUAAUGUAGAUUUUGUUUCCAACAAUCGUUAAAGAGGUCAAGCUAAUUAUAUGGAGAAUACUGAAGAGUCUUGCAUCGAACCUUAUUAUCCACCAAUUGACGAAGAACUAGUGGGGUUUGAUGAUGAUGCAGAAAAUAUAACCAAGUAUUUGAUAAGAGGAAGAAUGGACCUGGACAUUGUCUCGAUUGUUGGAAUGGCUGGUUUAGGGAAAACAGCUCUGGCUAGAAAGAUAUACAAUAGUCGUUCUAUUAUUGAUCAUUUUGAUGUUCGAGCUUGGUGUUCUGUUUCACAAACAUAUAAUAUGAGAGAGUUGUUGCUUCAGAUUCUAAAACAAAUUACAGGUGAUCAUCAUUCUAACUAUGUUGACUUGGAUUAUCCUGAAUUCAUAUUGCGGAGGAUUCUAAAGGCAACAAAAUAUCUCAUUGUAUUAGAUAACAUAUGGGAAGUCCAUGGAUUGGCUUAUUUUCGAGCAUGUUUCCCUGAUCGUCAUACUGGAAGUAGAAUAAUGGUAACAACUAGAAAUGAAGAGGUGGCUAGCUAUGUUAAGGGGUAUAGUGAUCCUUAUUCACUUCCAUUUCUAAAAGAUGAAAAGAGUUGGGAACUAUUGCAGAAGAAAGUAUUUCAACGAGGGAACUCGUGUCCUUUGGAGCUAGUUAAUGUAGGACAACUAGUUGCCAAAAAAUGUAAAGGAUUACCUUCUUUGAUUAUCAUGAUUGCUGAAAUUCUUUCAGAAGAAAGAGAAGCGUCUUCGUGGCUUAAGGUUGCAUAUGAUAUAAGUUCUCAUGUUUCCGACAAGGAGAUGAUCAUGAAGACGAUACAAUCAAGUUAUGAUUAUUUACCAGAC
Molecule: long non-coding RNA, 7171 nt
Filed under: Solanum tuberosum (potato)
Lineage: Eukaryota; Viridiplantae; Streptophyta; Magnoliopsida; Solanales; Solanaceae
Description: long non-coding RNA (STUB_LNC005334)
Source: RNAcentral